GCGGAAGGAUCAUUGUCAA
RNAcentral lists this ribosomal RNA (19 nucleotides) under Erica karooica. RNAcentral describes it as "partial 18S ribosomal RNA". Lineage: Eukaryota; Viridiplantae; Streptophyta; Magnoliopsida; Ericales; Ericaceae. The record is from RNAcentral.